GAUGAACGCUGGCGGCGUGCCUAAUACAUGCAAGUCGAGCGAACAGAUGAGGAGCUUGCUCCUCUGACGUUAGCGGCGGACGGGUGAGUAACACGUGGAUAACCUACCUAUAAGACUGGGAUAACUUCGGGAAACCGGAGCUAAUACCGGAUAAUAUAUUGAACCGCAUGGUUCAAUAGUGAAAGACGGUUUUGCUGUCACUUAUAGAUGGAUCCGCGCCGCAUUAGCUAGUUGGUAAGGUAACGGCUUACCAAGGCAACGAUGCGUAGCCGACCUGAGAGGGUGAUCGGCCACACUGGAACUGAGACACGGUCCAGACUCCUACGGGAGGCAGCAGUAGGGAAUCUUCCGCAAAGGGCGAAAGCCUGACGGAGCAACGCCGCGUGAGUGAUGAAGGUCUUCGGAUCGUAAAAUUCUGUUAUUAGGGAAGAACAAAUGUGUAAGUAACUAUGCACGUCUUGACGGUACCUAAUCAGAAAGCCACGGCUAACUACGUG
Molecule: ribosomal RNA, 497 nt
Filed under: uncultured bacterium
Lineage: Bacteria
Description: partial 16S ribosomal RNA
Rfam family: Bacterial small subunit ribosomal RNA
Source: RNAcentral